GACGAACGCUGGCGGCGUGCUUAACACAUGCAAGUCGAACGGAAAGGCCCUGCUUUUGUGGGGUGCUCGAGUGGCGAACGGGUGAGUAACACGUGAGUAACCUGCCCUUGACUUUGGGAUAACUUCAGGAAACUGGGGCUAAUACCGGAUAGGAGCUCCUGCUGCUUGGUGGGGGUUGGAAAGUUUCGGCGGUUGGGGAUGGACUCGCGGCUUAUCAGCUUGUUGGUGGGGUAGUGGCUUACCAAGGCUUUGACUGGUAGCCGGCCUGAGAGGGUGACCGGCCACCUUGGGCCUGCGAUACGGCCCAGACUCCUACGGGAGGCAGCAGUGGGGAAUAUUGUCCAAUGGGCGGAAGCCUGAUGCAGCAACGCCGCGUGCGGGAUGACGGCCUUCGGGUUGUAAACCGCUUUCGCCUGUGACGAAGCGUGAGUGACGGUAAUGGGUAAAGAAGCACCGGCUAACUACGUG
Molecule: ribosomal RNA, 468 nt
Filed under: uncultured bacterium
Lineage: Bacteria
Description: partial 16S ribosomal RNA
Rfam family: Bacterial small subunit ribosomal RNA
Source: RNAcentral